AGGGCUCAUGGCGGAUACCUUGGCACACAGAGGCGAUGAAGGACGUGGUUACCUGCGAUAUGUCUCGGGGAGCUGGAUACACGCUUUGAUCCGGGAAUUUCCGAAUGGGGCAACCCUUAGAACGGCCAGCUGAAUACAUAGGCUGGCGCGAGCCAACCCAGCGAACUGAAACAUCUUAGUAGCUGGAGGAAAGGAAAGUAAAAACGACUCCCUAAGUAGCGGCGAGCGAACGGGGAUCAGCCCAAACCGAUGGUUUCGAUCAUCGGGGUUGUGGGACAGCAAUGUGGAUUUAACAAACCUAGAAGAAGCGUUUGAAUGGCGCGCCAUAGAGGGUGAAAGCCCCGUAAUCGAAAGGAGCGUUAACCUAGCUGUAUCCCGAGUAGCACGGAGCACGUGGAAUUCCGUGUGAAUCUACGAGGACCACCUCGUAAGGCUAAGUACUCCUGUGUGACCGAUAGUGCAACAGUACCGUGAGGGAAAGGUGAAAAGAACCCCGGGAGGGGAGUGAAAUAGAACAUGAAACCAUGAGCCUACAAGCAAUGGGAGCCCGACUUAUCGGGUGACCGUGUGCCUGUUGAAGAAUGAGCCGGCGACUUAUAGGCACUGGCAGGUUAAACCGGGAAUGGUGGAGCCAUAGCGAAAGCGAGUCUGAAUAGGGCGUUUGUCAGUGUUUAUAGACCCGAACCCUGGUGAUCUAACCAUGGCCAGGAUGAAGCUUGGGUGAUACCAAGUGGAGGUCCCAACCGACUGACGUUGAAAAGUCACCGGAUGAGCUGUGGUUAGGGGUGAAAUGCCAAUCGAACCAGGAGCUAGCUGGUUCUCCCCGAAAUACGUUGAGGCGUAGCGUCUAGUGCUCCAGCAGGGGGGUAAAGCGACCAUUUCGGUGCGGGCUGCGAAAGCGGUACCAAAUCGUGAUGAACUCUGAAUACCCUGUGUGUAACUAGGCAGUCAGACUGUGGGGGAUAAGCUCCAUAGUCGAAAGGGAAACAGCCCAGACCGCCAGCUAAGGUCCCAAAAUCAACACUAAGUGAUAAAGGAGGUGGGAUUGCCCAGACAACCAGGAGGUUUGCUUAGAAGCAGCCAUCCUCAAAGGAGUGCGUAAUAGCUCACUGGUCGAGCGAUCCUGCGCCGAAAAUGAACGGGGCUAAGUGUUGUACCGAAGCUGCGGAUUUAUUUAUAAAUGGUAGGGGAGCGUUCUAUGUGGGGUGAAGCGUUAGCGUAAGCGGGCGUGGACUGCAUAGAAGUGAGAAUGUCGGCUUGAGUAGCGAAAACAUGGGUGAGAAUCCCAUGCCCCGAAACCCUAAGGGUUCCUCCGGCAGGCUCGUCCGCGGAGGGUUAGUCUGGUCCUAAGGUCAGGCCGAAAGGCGUAGUCGAUGGAUAACAGGUCAAUAUUCCUGUACCAAUUAUGUUUUGGGAAGGGGGACGGAGAAGGCUAGCCAAUCCAGAUGUUGGUUACUGGUUCAAGCGUUCGAGGCUUUGAGGAACGGAGAAAACGUUCUGAGCUGAGGCGUGAGUACGAGCUGCUACGGCAGCGAAGUUGGUGACGUCAUGCUUCCAAGAAAAUCCCUAUACCCGUUAAGACAUAAUUGCCAGUACCCGAAACCGACACAGGUGGGGUGGUAGAGAAUACCGAGGGGCGCGAGAUAACUCUCUCUAAGGAACUCGGCAAAAUGGUCCCGUAACUUCGGGAGAAGGGAUGCCAGCGAGAGCUGGUCGCAGUGAAGAGGCCCAGGCGACUGUUUACCAAAAACACAGGUCUCCGCUAAGUCGCAAGACGAUGUAUGGGGGCUGACACCUGCCCAGUGCCGGAAGGUUAAGGAAGCUGGUUAGCGUAUGCGAAGCUAGUGACUGAAGCCCCGGUGAACGGCGGCCGUAACUAUAACGGUCCUAAGGUAGCGAAAUUCCUUGUCGGGUAAGUUCCGACCCGCACGAAAGGUGUAACGAUCUGGGCGCUGU
Molecule: ribosomal RNA, 1956 nt
Filed under: Prochlorococcus sp. AG-315-C08
Lineage: Bacteria; Bacillati; Cyanobacteriota; Cyanophyceae; Synechococcales; Prochlorococcaceae
Description: bacterial LSU rRNA
Rfam family: Bacterial large subunit ribosomal RNA
Source: RNAcentral